Molecule: ribosomal RNA, 992 nt
Filed under: Escherichia coli
Lineage: Bacteria; Pseudomonadati; Pseudomonadota; Gammaproteobacteria; Enterobacterales; Enterobacteriaceae
Description: partial 23S ribosomal RNA
Rfam family: Bacterial large subunit ribosomal RNA
Source: RNAcentral
GGAAAAGAAAUCAACCGAGAUUCCCCCAGUAGCGGCGAGCGAACGGGGAGGAGCCCAGAGCCUGAAUCAGUGUGUGUGUUAGUGGAAGCGUCUGGAAAGGCGCGCGAUACAGGGUGACAGCCCCGUACACAAAAAUGCACAUAUUGUGAGCUCGAUGAGUAGGGCGGGACACGUGGUAUCCUGUCUGAAUAUGGGGGGACCAUCCUCCAAGGCUAAAUACUCCUGACUGACCGAUAGUGAACCAGUACCGUGAGGGAAAGGCGAAAAGAACCCCGGCGAGGGGAGUGAAAAAGAACCUGAAACCGUGUACGUACAAGCAGUGGGAGCCUCUUAAUGGGGUGACUGCGUACCUUUUGUAUAAUGGGUCAGCGACUUAUAUUCUGUAGCAAGGUUAACCGAAUAGGGGAGCCGAAGGGAAACCGAGUCUUAACUGGGCGUUAAGUUGCAGGGUAUAGACCCGAAACCCGGUGAUCUAGCCAUGGGCAGGUUGAAGGUUGGGUAACACUAACUGGAGGACCGAACCGACUAAUGUUGAAAAAUUAGCGGAUGACUUGUGGCUGGGGGUGAAAGGCCAAUCAAACCGGGAGAUAGCUGGUUCUCCCCGAAAGCUAUUUAGGUAGCGCCUCGUGAAUUCAUCUCCGGGGGUAGAGCACUGUUUCGGCAAGGGGGUCAUCCCGACUUACCAACCCGAUGCAAACUGCGAAUACCGGAGAAUGUUAUCACGGGAGACACACGGCGGGUGCUAACGUCCGUCGUGAAGAGGGAAACAACCCAGACCGCCAGCUAAGGUCCCAAAGUCAUGGUUAAGUGGGAAACGAUGUGGGAAGGCCCAGACAGCCAGGAUGUUGGCUUAGAAGCAGCCAUCAUUUAAAGAAAGCGUAAUAGCUCACUGGUCGAGUCGGCCUGCGCGGAAGAUGUAACGGGGCUAAACCAUGCACCGAAGCUGCGGCAGCGACACUAUGUGUUGUUGGGUAGGGGAGCGUUCUGUAAGC